RNAcentral lists this ribosomal RNA (692 nucleotides) under uncultured Planctomycetales bacterium. Its description in RNAcentral is "bacterial SSU rRNA". It matches the Rfam family "Bacterial small subunit ribosomal RNA", at positions 129 to 797 of the family's 1533-position model. The record is from RNAcentral. Lineage: Bacteria; Pseudomonadati; Planctomycetota; Planctomycetia; Planctomycetales.
CCCCNAGGUGGGGGAUAGCUUUGCGAAAGUGCGGUUAAUACCGGAUGACAUCACCGGAUCGCAUGGUCUGGUGCUCAAAGGGCGGGGACCGGGUAACCGGCCUGCCGGACUGGGAGCGGCCUAUGUCCUAUCACCUAGUUGGUGAGGUAACGGCUCACCAAGGGAAUGACGGGUAGCGGGUGUGAGAGCACGACCCGCCUCAUCGGAACUGAGACACUGUCCGGACACCUACGGGUGGCUGCAGUAACGAAUAUUGGGCAAUGGGCGCAAGCCUGACCCAGCGACGCCGCGUGCAGGAGGAAGCCCUUCGGGGUGUAAACUGCUGUCAGUAUCUAGCAAGUGACCGGGGUGAAUAAUCCCGGAAGCUGAGCAGAUUCAAAGGAAGCCUCGGCUAACUCUGUGCCAGCAGCCGCGGUAAGACAGAGGAGGCAAGCGUUGCUCGGAAUCAUUGGGCUUAAAGCGGGUGUAGGCGGCUGCGUAAGCGUGACGUGAAAUCCAGCGGCUCAACCGCUGAACUGCGUCGCGAACUGCGUGGCUUGAGGUCGGUAGAGGUGGCUGGAACUCUGGGUGGAGCGGUGAAAUGCGUAGAUAUCCAGAGGAACACCGGAGGCGAAAGCGGGCCACUGGGCCGAUUCUGACGCUGAGAUCCGAAAGCGUGGGGAGCAAACAGGAUUAGAUACCCNGGUAGUCCU